UACGAAGGGGGCUAGCGUUGCUCGGAAUCACUGGGCGUAAAGCGCACGUAGGCGGAUUGUUAAGUCAGGGGUGAAAUCCUGGAGCUCAACUCCAGAACUGCCCUUGAUACUGGCGGUCUCGAGUCCGGGAGAGGUGAGUGGAACUGCGAGUGUAGAGGUGAAAUUCGUAGAUAUUCGCAAGAACACCAGUGGCGAAGGCGGGUCUCUGGGCAACAACUGACGCUGAGGAGCGAAAGCGUGGGGAGCGAACAGG
This 253-nucleotide ribosomal RNA is filed under the name uncultured bacterium. Its description in RNAcentral is "partial 16S ribosomal RNA". It matches the Rfam family "Bacterial small subunit ribosomal RNA", at positions 524 to 776 of the family's 1533-position model. The record is from RNAcentral.